GGCGAACGCUGGCGGCGUGCUUAACACAUGCAAGUCGAACGGAAAGGCCCUGCUUUUGUGGGGUGCUCGAGUGGCGAACGGGUGAGUAACACGUGAGUAACCUGCCCUUGACUUUGGGAUAACUUCAGGAAACUGGGGCUAAUACCGGAUAGGAGCUCCUGCUGCAUGGUGGGGGUUGGAAAGUUUCGGCGGUUGGGGAUGGACUCGCGGCUUAUCAGCUUGUUGGUGGGGUAGUGGCUUACCAAGGCUUUGACGGGUAGCCGGCCUGAGAGGGUGACCGGCCACAUUGGGACUGAGAUACGGCCCAGACUCCUACGGGAGGCAGCAGUGGGGAAUAUUCCACAAUGGGCGGAAGCCUGAUGCAGCAACGCCGCGUGCGGGAUGACGGCCUUCGGGUUGUAAACCGCUUUCGCCUGUGACGAAGCGUGAGUGACGGUAAUGGGUAAAGAAGCACCGGCUAACUACGUG
This 468-nucleotide ribosomal RNA is filed under the name uncultured bacterium. RNAcentral's name for it is "partial 16S ribosomal RNA". It matches the Rfam family "Bacterial small subunit ribosomal RNA", at positions 28 to 507 of the family's 1533-position model. The record is from RNAcentral.